GAUUCACUGGUCUUGUGGUUAUGAUUUCUGUCUAACAUAUUUCUUGGUCUUCACAGAAGGUUCCUGGUUCGAUUCCAGGGUGAAUCA
Molecule: non-coding RNA, 87 nt
Organism: Fomitiporia mediterranea MF3/22
Lineage: Eukaryota; Fungi; Basidiomycota; Agaricomycetes; Hymenochaetales; Hymenochaetaceae
Source: the annotation of a RefSeq genome assembly